This is a long non-coding RNA of Parus major (Great Tit), 2607 nucleotides long. RefSeq lists it as uncharacterized. The transcript is spliced from 3 exons. Lineage: Eukaryota; Metazoa; Chordata; Aves; Passeriformes; Paridae. The record is from RefSeq and is a predicted model, not a curated record.
GGGCAGCAACACUGUUAUAGAUUCCAGGGAUCUGAAUAUGACCUGUGGAAUCCACGAGGCUGUCUACAAAAUAAGAUGUAGAUAUCAGCAUAAGUGGAGCCUAUUUCUUCCCCUUGGCAAUCAUAACACCUUCUCCCUUCUGCCUAGCUCUUUACCAAAUUAGUAAGCCUAACAGCUGUUUGCAUCUGCCAAGUUGCGACACCUAACUUGAUAUAUUUGCAUAUUUAUUAAGAAAACCAUUGAGCUGCUGUUUGUGUGUAGUGUGUGAUGUGUCAGCCCAGCUGACAUGAAAACAUCAUCCUCCUAGGAUACAAAUCAGUAUUAAAAAGUCGUGUUUCACUAUGUGUGUAUGUAUUAAAAUUGCCUGUAAUCCUUAGAUGUGUGUGACUGACAUCAGCUUAACAUGUCUGAAGUCCUGGCUUUACUGGGGACAUUCCCUUCCUCAGCUGCUACCACCAGAGUUGUGUUGAGGUUUGCAAGCCUGGAGUCUUUCUACAAUGAGACUUGCCUUACAACAAUUAAACGUGGCCCUGCCCUUCAUUAGGCUGCUCCUGGGCAGCGCUCCCCAGCAAUGAUGUGUGCUCUUACCCAGCAGAGCUAUCAGGUCCAGCAGCGGCUCGUGAAUGAUGCCUCCAAAAGUUCCAGAGUGAAGGUCCUUGCUGCCACAUUCAACCUGCACCAAAAGCACUGGUUACAUGUAAAUACUCGCUACCUUAUUCUUCUGUGAGUGUUUGUUUGCCACAGUGCCUGGUGGUUCCAGUUUUUUUAAACAAGAUCACAAAUGAACAUUAUAUGUUGGGGUUUUUUUUCUAAUUAUUAAAUGGAAAACAUCAUGUCAGGAACAAUCUGCUUUGGCAGAGAAGAUGGAGCUCUGUUGUCAACCACCAGAGAGAGAAAUUCAGCUGUGUGUAGCACUCACACAUCUGAGAGCAAGGGUGCUCCUCCACUCCCCUCUUUUGCUUCAGUAAGAUUAAAGACAUCAUACAUUAAACAUUUGCAUAUUAUUAACUGUUUGUAACAUUAAAGAAUAAAUUCUUCGAGUUGUCUACCCUUUUUAUUUAAUGCAAAAUCUUCUUUUAAAAAGGCGAAAAUUAAUCUUGUUUGAUAUUAAGAAUAUAUGUCCAACCUUAAUUCAAGAUUGCAACAAAUAAAAAUUUAUAGGUCUCUUGAAUAACAAGGCUUUAGAAUUAGAGGCAUUUGAGGUAUUAAAUGGCUUCUCUUGCCAGACACAUUUUCAUACUUGGGUUUAUCAUAAAAUAUUUUCCUGCAAAGAACUUGUUUAUUCUUCUCAAAACCUCAUUACAGCUAACUGUCUACUAGCAGGGAGAGAUCAUUUUUGAUGUUUUAAUAGCAUCAUUUUUCUUAACCAAGACUUAGAAGAAUUGAAUCAAGGCUGCCAAGGCUUUUUCAGUUAAAAAAAAAUCAUUCUUUUUCAGAUGUAAAGGUUAAUGCAGAUUUUUCUUUAGUUCUCAAGUUUUUUAAUCUUCUCUCUGAAUUCCUUUUAUGCUUCAUCAGAAAGCAUUUCCAGAUGAGAAAUUUCUCAUCUUUAUUUCACAGUAGCUCACAUUGCCUGCUAAAUAUAGCACAUUGGCUACAGUGAACUUUUAUUUGCUUCUGCCGAUGGUUACAAAAAUUUUGUGUGUCUUUUAAACCCAGAGAUCCAGCUAAACUGAGUCCCUUUAGGCUGAUUCAUUGUACUAAGCAGUAUCUGCUGCAAAAGGGCAGAGUAGCAGAAGAGAUGUUUUUGGAGAGAGUUGGAGAGGCAGGUGUAGGGAUGGUGGUGCACAAGAACAGAUAUAUGAUGUGCAGAGGGGAGGAUGAGAAGAGGCUGGAAGAGUGGCAGGAGAGUAAUGGGAUAAGAAAGGGAUCAAGGGACGAAAUGAGUGAAGAAAAGUUAAUGGAAGUGAAUCAUGAACUAAUUGAACUGAAAUGAGGAAGGAAACCUGCAGAAGCCAAAAGGGAUGCAGAAGACAGCUCUGUACUCGUGAAUAUUAAGCUUUCUGCUUCAGUCUUUCUCUGCAUGCAGAUGUAAGUACAGCUACAUCAUUGCUGUCUGUCAGAGGCUCAGUUCAAGUGAACCUGUGUCCUUCACCUCCACAAAGAAGCAGGCGUUUCCCCGACAGCCAUAGGAACUGUUUGUUCAUACCAGAUAUUCCUGAAGGGUUUGCACAAUACACAGCCUCUGGACACAUCAUUCAGACCAGUGGGCUGAUGGAAAUGAAAGCACAAACCAGUGUGGGACCAAGACUCCUCUCCUUGUAAAGAGCAAAGCUAAAAAACUCAGUUCUGAAGCAAAGACAGAGAGUGAGCAUCCUAUCUGACUUGCAUGUCCAUGCAGGUGCAUUUUGACUUAGUGGAGCCUCUCUCUGAACACUCUCAAAGGAUACUGUGGAAGUCUAUGCAAAACCCUCCUUCACCCCAGGGGUCCCCAGCAGUUUGUCCCCUUGCAGCCUUGCUGUGUGAAGUGCAUAUUGCACUCCUGAUGCCAGACCUGGAACCCUGCACAUUACCUUUGUGACAGGCACUCCUCCAGCCAGAGGAGCCCAGGCCUCUAGGGCACCAGCUCUGUGUUCAUCAUUUCACUGCAAUAUAGUUCCUACCUUGAUA